This 370-nucleotide ribosomal RNA is filed under the name uncultured bacterium. RNAcentral describes it as "bacterial SSU rRNA". It matches the Rfam family "Bacterial small subunit ribosomal RNA", at positions 917 to 1289 of the family's 1533-position model. The record is from RNAcentral.
GGGCCCGCACAAGCGGUGGAGCAUGUGGUUUAAUUCGAUGCAACGCGAAAAACCUUACCUACUCUUGACAUACUUGGAAGCUCUUGUAAUGAGAGUGUGCCUUUUGGAACCAAGAUACAGGUGCUGCAUGGCUGUCGUCAGCUCGUGUCGUGAGAUGUUCCGUUAAGUCGGAUAACGAGCGCAACCCUUACCCUUAUUUGCCAGCGAUCGGUCGGGAACUAUAAGGGGACUGCCGGUGAUAAACCGGAGGAAGGUGAGGACGACGUCAAGUCAUCAUGGCCCUUACGAGUAGGGCUACACACGUGCUACAAUGGGGAAUACAGACGGACGCUAAGCCGCGAGGUGGUGCUAAUCCUAGAAAGUUUCUCGU